RNAcentral lists this ribosomal RNA (225 nucleotides) under uncultured bacterium. RNAcentral describes it as "partial 16S ribosomal RNA". It matches the Rfam family "Bacterial small subunit ribosomal RNA", at positions 111 to 339 of the family's 1533-position model. The record is from RNAcentral.
GAAUACAUCGGAACGUGUCUAUAAGUGGGGGAUAACGCAUCGAAAGGUGUGCUAAUACCGCAUAAUCUCUCAGGAGAAAAGCAGGGGAUCGCAAGACCUUGCGCUUUAGGAGCGGCCGAUGCCUGAUUAGCUAGUUGGUAAGGUAAAAGCUUACCAAGGCUUCGAUCAGUAGCUGGUCUGAGAGGACGACCAGCCACACUGGGACUGAGACACGGCCCAGACUCC